This is a non-coding RNA of Schistosoma curassoni, 45 nucleotides long. NCBI's taxonomy places the organism in Eukaryota, Metazoa, Platyhelminthes, Trematoda, Strigeidida, Schistosomatidae. The record is from Rfam.
AUCCAGCUGAAGAGUCUCAAGUAGGACGAAAUAUGAGUCCUGAAU